Molecule: ribosomal RNA, 555 nt
Filed under: uncultured archaeon
Lineage: Archaea
Description: bacterial SSU rRNA
Rfam family: Archaeal small subunit ribosomal RNA
Source: RNAcentral
GCACCACCAGGCGUGAAGCCUGCGGUUUAAUUGGAGUCAACGCCGGGAAUCUUACCGGGAGCGACAGCAGAAUGAAGGCCAGGUUGAAGGUCUUGCUGGACGAGCUGAGAGGUGGUGCAUGGCCGUCGCCAGUUCGUGCCGUGAGGUGUCCUCUUAAGUGAGGUAACGAACGAGACCCGUGCCCCAUGUUGCUAACAGUAUCUAAAGGAUAGCUGAGCACUCUUGGGGGACCGCAGCCGACAAGGCUGAGGAAGGUGCGGGCCACGGCAGGUCAGUAUGCCCCGAAUCUCCCGGGCCACACGCGGGCUGCAAUGGUAGUGACAGAGGGCUGCGACCCCGAGAGGGGGAGCCAAUCCCUAAACACUAUCUCAGUUGGGAUCGAGGGCUGCAACCCGCCCUCGUGAACAUGGAAUGCCUAGUAACCGCCGGUCAUCAUCCGGCGGUGAAUACGUCCCUGCUCCUUGCACACACUGCCCGUCGAACCACCCGAAUGAGGUUUUGAUGAGGCAUGGUCGAAAGUUGGCCGUGUCGAAUCUGGGCCUUGUAAGGAGGGUU